This 253-nucleotide ribosomal RNA is filed under the name uncultured bacterium. RNAcentral's name for it is "partial 16S ribosomal RNA". It matches the Rfam family "Bacterial small subunit ribosomal RNA", at positions 524 to 776 of the family's 1533-position model. The record is from RNAcentral.
UACGUAGGGUGCGAGCGUUAAUCGGAAUUACUGGGCGUAAAGCGUGCGCAGGCGGUUUUGUAAGCCAGAUGUGAAAUCCCCGGGCUCAACCUGGGAAUGGCAUUUGGGACUGCAAGGCUCGAGUUUGGCAGAGGAGACUGGAAUUCCUGGUGUAGCAGUGAAAUGCGUAGAUAUCAGGAGGAAUACCGAUGGCGAAGGCAGGUCACUGGGCCGCAACUGACGCUGAGGAGCGAAAGCAUGGGGAGCGAACAGG